GACGAACGCUGGCGGCGUGCCUAACACAUGCAAGUCGAACGGGUGAGAGGAGCUUGCUCCUCGAUCUAGUGGCGAACGGGUGAGUAACGCGUGAGAAACCUGCCUUUCAGUGGGGGACAACAGUUGGAAACGACUGCUAAUACCGCAUAAUGUGCCGGGAGGGCAUCCUCCUGGUACCAAAGCUUUAUGUGCUGAAAGAUGGUCUCGCGUCUGAUUAGCUAGAUGGCGGGGUAACGGCCCACCAUGGCGACGAUCAGUAGCCGGUCUGAGAGGAUGAACGGCCACAUUGGGACUGAGAUACGGCCCAGACUCCUACGGGAGGCAGCAGUGGGGAAUAUUGGGCAAUGGGGGAAACCCGUGACCGAGCAAUGCCGCGUGAGUGAAGACGGCC
This 391-nucleotide ribosomal RNA is filed under the name uncultured bacterium. RNAcentral describes it as "bacterial SSU rRNA". It matches the Rfam family "Bacterial small subunit ribosomal RNA", at positions 28 to 416 of the family's 1533-position model. The record is from RNAcentral.